This 465-nucleotide ribosomal RNA is filed under the name Vreelandella stevensii. RNAcentral describes it as "partial 16S ribosomal RNA". It matches the Rfam family "Bacterial small subunit ribosomal RNA", at positions 338 to 795 of the family's 1533-position model. The record is from RNAcentral. Lineage: Bacteria; Pseudomonadati; Pseudomonadota; Gammaproteobacteria; Oceanospirillales; Halomonadaceae.
CCUACGGGUGGCAGCAGUGGGGAAUAUUGGACAAUGGGGGCAACCCUGAUCCAGCCAUGCCGCGUGUGUGAAGAAGGCCCUCGGGUUGUAAAGCACUUUCAGUGAGGAAGAACGCCUGGUGGUUAAUACCCAUCAGGAAAGACAUCACUCACAGAAGAAGCACCGGCUAACUCCGUGCCAGCAGCCGCGGUAAUACGGAGGGUGCGAGCGUUAAUCGGAAUUACUGGGCGUAAAGCGCGCGUAGGUGGCUUGAUAAGCCGGUUGUGAAAGCCCCGGGCUCAACCUGGGAACGGCAUCCGGAACUGUCAAGCUAGAGUGCAGGAGAGGAAGGUAGAACUCCCGGUGUAGCGGUGAAAUGCGUAGAGAUAGGGAGGAACACCAGUGGCGAAGGCGGCCUUCUGGACUGACACUGACACUGAGGUGCGAAAGCGUGGGUAGCAAACAGGAUUAGAUACCCCGGUAGUC